Pseudoliparis swirei is the source of this 982-nucleotide long non-coding RNA. RefSeq lists it as uncharacterized. The record is from RefSeq and is a predicted model, not a curated record. The transcript has 2 exons. NCBI's taxonomy places the organism in Eukaryota, Metazoa, Chordata, Actinopteri, Perciformes, Liparidae.
UCGCGCGACAGAGCGAUGUGCGCGCCGGCAUCGAAGCUCUGCCGUGAUGCGCGCACACGGGUGAGCACCGUGUAUUCGGUCCUAUCAAUCCCCUACAACGUGAAGCAUCGGCUACUUUAGAAAACAUGGCAGGAUGCAAGUUCAACAACGGCUUGAAAAGAACGAGUGUUUCUGGUCACGGUGGGUGAAAUGCUUCUGAAUCUGCGUUAUGUGUCGCGAGACUUCCAGCGGUGGAAUCUCACGUGCAGAGCAAGAAGCACAGAGACUAGCGAAGGCCGCCAGCAGCCCGCGGGGCUAGCUGCUGCUCCGCCGCUAGCUGCUGCUCCGCCGCUAGCUCCUGCUCCGCCGCUAGCUCCUGCUCCGCCGCUAGCUCCUGCUCCGCCGCCCGCAACGACGUCAACUACAACGCUGGAGGUCACCGGAGGAAAUCCAGCGCCUUGCAACAAAGAGCUCAUCACCGAAGACCAACGCUGCAGUGCGUUCUUCAUUCUGUUCCACGAGACUCUGGACCAGACCACCGCGAGCAGACAGCUGGACUUCAUGUGCGUUAUUGGUGAAAUGACCACGUCCAGUCAGGAUCCUGUGGAGCUCAUGGGCCAUGACACCAGGACCUACUUCAGCACCUCAAAGAGAAUGGACCAAAUGUCAACUGGAAGUUUUUAUAUUAAUACAGUUUGAAAAGGAUUGUUUUCCUAGUAUAUUCACAAAAGCUCAGGAGUAGACAUGAACCUGUGCACAAACAUCCAUCACAUAGAGACAUGAGAACUCACACUCACUCACCCACACACACAUACAUUCUAUUAUGUAAAUGUAUUAGCAUUUUAAAAGCAGCUGGAAAUGUUAUUUGUUAUUUUAUGGAUUUUUUUUGUUCAAAAGGAACUAUGUUGCAUGUAUUUUUUAAAUAUAUUUACUUAAUUUGAGAGACAUUUGUUCAUGGGACUUAAAUGUUCUGAAAAUGUAUUAAUAAAUAUAAUUUACAACA